UACAGAGGUCUCAAGCGUUGUUCGGAUUCAUUGGGCGUAAAGGGUGCGUAGGCGGUGACGUAAGUUGGAUGUGAAAUCCCGGGGCUUAACCCCGGAACUGCAUUCAAUACUGCGUUGCUAGAGUACUGGAGAGGAGAGUGGAAUUCACGGUGUAGCAGUGAAAUGCGUAGAUAUCGGGAGGAACACCUGUGGCGAAAGCGGCUCACUGGACCACAACUGACGCUGAUGCGCGAAAGCUAGGGGAGCAAACAGG
Molecule: ribosomal RNA, 253 nt
Filed under: uncultured prokaryote
Description: partial 16S ribosomal RNA
Rfam family: Bacterial small subunit ribosomal RNA
Source: RNAcentral